This 497-nucleotide ribosomal RNA is filed under the name uncultured bacterium. Its description in RNAcentral is "partial 16S ribosomal RNA". It matches the Rfam family "Bacterial small subunit ribosomal RNA", at positions 28 to 507 of the family's 1533-position model. The record is from RNAcentral.
GAUGAACGCUGGCGGCGUGCCUAAUACAUGCAAGUCGAGCGAACGGACGAGAAGCUUGCUUUUCUGAUGUUAGCGGCGGACGGGUGAGUAACACGUGGAUAACCUACCUAUAAGACUGGGAUAACUUCGGGAAACCGGAGCUAAUACCGGAUAAUAUUUUGAACCGCAUGGUUCAAAAGUGAAAGACGGUCUUGCUGUCACUUAUAGAUGGAUCCGCGCUGCAUUAGCUAGUUGGUAAGGUAACGGCUUACCAAGGCAACGAUGCAUAGCCGACCUGAGAGGGUGAUCGGCCACACUGGAACUGAGACACGGUCCAGACUCCUACGGGAGGCAGCAGUAGGGAAUCUUCCGCAAUGGGCGAAAGCCUGACGGAGCAACGCCGCGUGAGUGAUGAAGGUCUUCGGAUCGUAAAACUCUGUUAUUAGGGAGGAACAUAUGUGUAAGUAACUGUGCACAUCUUGACGGUACCUAAUCAGAAAGCCACGGCUAACUACGUG